GACGAACCGUGCGAACGUUAUUCGGAAUCACUGGGCUUAAAGCGCGUGUAGGCGGGACGGCACGUCUGUCGCUGAAAUCCCCCGGCUCAACCGGGGAACGGGCGCGGAUACGACCGUCCUGGAGGGGCGUAGGGGGACCUGGAACUUCCGGUGGAGCGGUGAAAUGCGUUGAGAUCGGAAGGAACGCCCGUGGCGAAAGCGAGGUCCUGGACGCCUACUGACGCUGAGACGCGAAAGCCAGGGGAGCGAACGGG
This 254-nucleotide ribosomal RNA is filed under the name uncultured bacterium. RNAcentral describes it as "partial 16S ribosomal RNA". It matches the Rfam family "Bacterial small subunit ribosomal RNA", at positions 524 to 776 of the family's 1533-position model. The record is from RNAcentral.